RNAcentral lists this ribosomal RNA (1491 nucleotides) under Escherichia coli. RNAcentral's name for it is "partial 23S ribosomal RNA". It matches the Rfam family "Bacterial large subunit ribosomal RNA", at positions 1 to 1529 of the family's 2925-position model. Lineage: Bacteria; Pseudomonadati; Pseudomonadota; Gammaproteobacteria; Enterobacterales; Enterobacteriaceae. The record is from RNAcentral.
GGGUUGUGAGGUUAAGCGACUAAGCGUACACGGUGGAUGCCCUGGCAGUCAGAGGCGAUGAAGGACGUGCUAAUCUGCGAUAAGCGUCGGUAAGGUGAUAUGAACCGUUAUAACCGGCGAUUUCCGAAUGGGGAAACCCAGUGUGUUUCGACACACUAUCAUUAACUGAAUCCAUAGGUUAAUGAGGCGAACCGGGGGAACUGAAACAUCUAAGUACCCCGAGGAAAAGAAAUCAACCGAGAUUCCCCCAGUAGCGGCGAGCGAACGGGGAGGAGCCCAGAGUCUGAAUCAGUGUGUGUGUUAGUGGAAGCGUCUGGAAAGGCGUGCGAUACAGGGUGACAGCCCCGUACACAAAAAUGCACAUAUUGUGAGCUCGAUGAGUAGGGCGGGACACGUGGUAUCCUGUCUGAAUAUGGGGGGACCAUCCUCCAAGGCUAAAUACUCCUGACUGACCGAUAGUGAACCAGUACCGUGAGGGAAAGGCGAAAAGAACCCCGGCGAGGGGAGUGAAAAAGAACCUGAAACCGUGUACGUACAAGCAGUGGGAGCCUCUUAAUGGGGUGACUGCGUACCUUUUGUAUAAUGGGUCAGCGACUUAUAUUCUGUAGCAAGGUUAACCGAAUAGGGGAGCCGAAGGGAAACCGAGUCUUAACUGGGCGUUAAGUUGCAGGGUAUAGACCCGAAACCCGGUGAUCUAGCCAUGGGCAGGUUGAAGGUUGGGUAACACUAACUGGAGGACCGAACCGACUAAUGUUGAAAAAUUAGCGGAUGACUUGUGGCUGGGGGUGAAAGGCCAAUCAAACCGGGAGAUAGCUGGUUCUCCCCGAAAGCUAUUUAGGUAGCGCCUCGUGAAUUCAUCUCCGGGGGUAGAGCACUGUUUCGGCAAGGGGGUCAUCCCGACUUACCAACCCGAUGCAAACUGCGAAUACCGGAGAAUGUUAUCACGGGAGACACACGGCGGGUGCUAACGUCCGUCGUGAAGAGGGAAACAACCCAGACCGCCAGCUAAGGUCCCAAAGUCAUGGUUAAGUGGGAAACGAUGUGGGAAGGCCCAGACAGCCAGGAUGUUGGCUUAGAAGCAGCCAUCAUUUAAAGAAAGCGUAAUAGCUCACUGGUCGAGUCGGCCUGCGCGGAAGAUGUAACGGGGCUAAACCAUGCACCGAAGCUGCGGCAGCGACACUAUGUGUUGUUGGGUAGGGGAGCGUUCUGUAAGCCUGUGAAGGUGGCCUGUGAGGGUUGCUGGAGGUAUCAGAAGUGCGAAUGCUGACAUAAGUAACGAUAAAGCGGGUGAAAAGCCCGCUCGCCGGAAGACCAAGGGUUCCUGUCCAACGUUAAUCGGGGCAGGGUGAGUCGACCCCUAAGGCGAGGCCGAAAGGCGUAGUCGAUGGGAAACAGGUUAAUAUUCCUGUACUUGGUGUUACUGCGAAGGGGGGACGGAGAAGGCUAUGUUGGCCGGGCGACGGUUGUCCCGGUUUAAGCGUGUAGGCUGGU